Molecule: unclassified non-coding RNA, 391 nt
Filed under: soil metagenome
Description: partial contains 5.8S ribosomal RNA, internal transcribed spacer 2, and large subunit ribosomal RNA
Rfam family: 5.8S ribosomal RNA (bases 1-122)
Source: RNAcentral
GAUGAAGAACGUAGCGAAAUGCGUUACUUGGUGUGAAUUGCAGAAUCCCGUGAACCAUCGAGUCUUUGAACGCAAGUUGCGCCCGAAGCCAUUAGGCCGAGGGCACGCCUGCCUGGGCGUCACACGUCGUUGCCCCCCCAUCUACUCCUUCGGGAUUGCGGGGGGCGGAUGAUGGCCUCUCGUGCGCCUCGUCGCGCGGUUGGCCUAAAUGCCAAGUCCUCGGCGACGCACGCCACGACAAUCGGUGGUUGCGAAACCUCGGUUGCCUGUCGUGUGCGGUCGUCGCGCAUCGAGGGCUCGAAAAAAUUGCCGGGCUUCGGCUCGACUUUCAACGCGACCCCAGGUCAGGCGGGGUUACCCGCUGAAUUUAAGCAUAUCAAUAAGCGGAGGA